Molecule: ribosomal RNA, 253 nt
Filed under: uncultured bacterium
Lineage: Bacteria
Description: partial 16S ribosomal RNA
Rfam family: Bacterial small subunit ribosomal RNA
Source: RNAcentral
UACGUAGGGUGCAAGCGUUGUCCGGAAUUAUUGGGCGUAAAGAGCUCGUAGGCGGUCUGUCGCGUCUGCUGUGAAAACUCAGGGCUUAACCCUGAGCUUGCAGUGGGUACGGGCAGACUAGAGUGCGGUAGGGGAGACUGGAAUUCCUGGUGUAGCGGUGAAAUGCGCAGAUAUCAGGAGGAACACCGGUGGCGAAGGCGGGUCUCUGGGCCGUAACUGACGCUGAGGAGCGAAAGCAUGGGGAGCAAACGGG